This 253-nucleotide ribosomal RNA is filed under the name uncultured bacterium. RNAcentral describes it as "partial 16S ribosomal RNA". It matches the Rfam family "Bacterial small subunit ribosomal RNA", at positions 524 to 776 of the family's 1533-position model. The record is from RNAcentral.
UACGAAGGGGGCUAGCGUUGCUCGGAAUCACUGGGCGUAAAGCGCACGUAGGCGGAUUGCUAAGUCAGGGGUGAAAUCCUGGAGCUCAACUCCAGAACUGCCUUUGAUACUGGUGAUCUUGAGUCCGGGAGAGGUAAGUGGAAUUCCGAGUGUAGAGGUGAAAUUCGUAGAUAUUCGGAAGAACACCAGUGGCGAAGGCGACUUACUGGACACAUAUUGACGCUGAGGUGCGAAAGCGUGGGGAGCAAACAGG